ACGGAAGGCAGCAGUGGGGAAUAUUGCACAAUGGGCGAAAGCCUGAUGCAGCGACGCCGCGUGAGUGAUGAAGUAUUUCGGUAUGUAAAGCUCUAUCAGCAGGGAAGAUAAUGACGGUACCUGACUAAGAAGCACCGGCUAAAUACGUGCCAGCAGCCGCGGUAAUACGUAUGGUGCAAGCGUUAUCCGGAUUUACUGGGUGUAAAGGGAGCGCAGGCGGUACGGCAAGUCUGAUGUGAAAGCCCGGGGCUCAACCCCGGUACUGCAUUGGAAACUGUCGAACUAGAGUGUUGGAGGGGUAAGUGGAAUUCCUAGUGUAGCGGUGAAAUGCGUAGAUAUUAGGAGGAACACCAGUGGCGAAGGCGACUUACUGGACGAUAACUGACGCUGAGGCUCGAAAGCGUGGGGAGCAAACAGGAUUAGAUACCCUGGUA
Molecule: ribosomal RNA, 434 nt
Filed under: uncultured Roseburia sp.
Lineage: Bacteria; Bacillati; Bacillota; Clostridia; Lachnospirales; Lachnospiraceae
Description: partial 16S ribosomal RNA
Rfam family: Bacterial small subunit ribosomal RNA
Source: RNAcentral